AUUGAACGCUGGCGGCAUGCCUUACACAUGCAAGUCGAACGGCAGCACGGGAGCUUGCUCCUGGUGACGAGUGGCGAACGGGUGAGUAAUACAUCGGAACGUACCCUGAAGUGGGGGAUAACGUAGCGAAAGUUACGCUAAUACCGCAUAUUCUGUGAGCAGGAAAGAGGGGGAUCGCAAGACCUCUUGCUUUAGGAGCGGCCGAUGUCGGAUUAGCUAGUUGGUGAGGUAAAGGCUCACCAAGGCGACGAUCCGUAGCGGGUCUGAGAGGAUGAUCCGCCACACUGGGACUGAGACACGGCCCAGACUCCUACGGGAGGCAGCAGUGGGGAAUUUUGGACAAUGGGCGCAAGCCUGAUCCAGCCGU
This 367-nucleotide ribosomal RNA is filed under the name uncultured bacterium. RNAcentral describes it as "bacterial SSU rRNA". It matches the Rfam family "Bacterial small subunit ribosomal RNA", at positions 30 to 395 of the family's 1533-position model. The record is from RNAcentral.